GCCAGAUCACACGACACCCACUCGGAAACUGGAGUCAACAGAGAGCCGCAGCUGCUCGUACCGGGCAAGUCUCUGCGGGGUGGGACCCUGUCCCAGGACGCAGGAUUGGCGCUGAGCUCGGGAUCUCUGUGUGCACCUGCAUCGCUGGUAGGAGGACGCCCAGGAACCAAGGAGUGAGGCAGGAGCAGCCCCCGGCAUCAUCACUCCCAGUGACCCAGGAAGGGAUUUGUGCUUUUUUCCCUGCGGCUCUGGGCACUGCAGAGUUAGAGGUCCUGGUCCCCGGGGAUGGAGGGAGGGGGUAUAUCAGCGGGCACAGAGCAUGUCCAGUGACGCACAAACCACGGCUGCCCUCUGGUGCGUCGGGUUCCUUGUGGGGGGAUCACCAGGCAGGAGAGAGCACCACCGUCCUGGCAGGACAGAUCUGGAAACUGGACGGCCCCAAACUGAGUCCAAGUCCUGCAUCUGCCAGUCGUGUGAACUUGGGAUAAGCAGGCAUGAGAACGCCCUUCUCUCUGCAAGAAGAUGCCCGCCCUUACCAAGGUGACUUCCAAGGACUUCAGGAACCUGAAACCUCGUCCUUGAUCGACUCGUGGUGUUGAAGGCCCUGCCAAAGCCAGCCUGGCACUGCUCUCUGGGAUGGAGACGGGAGAUGGCAUUCCGGGUCUAAAUUCUCGUGGGUGGUUCUCAGCUGUCAGGAGGUGCCAGGCUUACCUGCCAGGACCGUGGUUUUCUGUCAUUGUAACUGUGGGAAUGGCUAAGUCCUGUCUAUGACAGUCACACGAAAUAAAGUGUUCUGUGCUCCAGGA
This 806-nucleotide long non-coding RNA is filed under the name Homo sapiens (human). RNAcentral's name for it is "HSALNT0145110". The record is from RNAcentral. Lineage: Eukaryota; Metazoa; Chordata; Mammalia; Primates; Hominidae.